RNAcentral lists this ribosomal RNA (194 nucleotides) under Clostridium perfringens. Its description in RNAcentral is "partial 16S ribosomal RNA". It matches the Rfam family "Bacterial small subunit ribosomal RNA", at positions 1348 to 1533 of the family's 1533-position model. The record is from RNAcentral. Lineage: Bacteria; Bacillati; Bacillota; Clostridia; Eubacteriales; Clostridiaceae.
AUCAGAAUGUCGCGGUGAAUACGUUCCCGGGUCUUGUACACACCGCCCGUCACACCAUGAGAGUUGGCAAUACCCGAAGUCCGUGAGCUAACCGCAAGGAGGCAGCGGCCGAAGGUAGGGUCAGCGAUUGGGGUGAAGUCGUAACAAGGUAGCCGUAGGAGAACCUGCGGCUGGAUCACCUCCUUUCUAAGGAA